Molecule: long non-coding RNA, 3545 nt
Organism: Equus asinus (donkey)
Lineage: Eukaryota; Metazoa; Chordata; Mammalia; Perissodactyla; Equidae
Source: Ensembl
AUUUUUUUGUGCUUCAAUGCAUUGCUUUUGAACAUUGUGUUAUCUUUUGUUACCUUUAAACUUAUAUAGCCUCCCUCCUAGAGAUCUGAUACCAUUUUUUUCUUUGUUUGCUUUGAUUAUGUUUGUUUGUUUGGCUUAGGAGGAAAGUGAUUAAGAACCCGAAAUCUAAAGUCAGACUGCCUGAAUUCAAAUACCAGCUCUAUCACUCACCAGCUCUACAAUGUGGAGCCAGUUGCUUAAACUCCAAGCACCUCAAUCUUCUCAUCUGCAAAAUGGGAGCACUGAUGUACACAUACCUCAAACGGUUGUGAUGAUUAAAUUAGUUAAUAUAUGUAAAGGACUUAGAACUGUUCUUAGAAGCUUACAGAUGAAAUUUCAGUUAUGCUUCUAAAAGGAUUUCUCAUGAGAAUGUUUUUGGCCUUGCCCCAUCUACUUUUAUGCCGGCUCUACGAGGCUGUUUAGCAUCAUGAAAGGCAAGAAGUAAAGCAUCAGAUACACCGGGGUUUGUAUGCUUCUCAGUUCGGCCACUUUGUGGCUGUCCAACCAUGGUCAAGACUUCCCUGAGAUUUACUUUCUUUAUCUCUAAAAUAAAGUAAGAGUGGUAAUAACAGAACCUGCCAUAACCCAAAUCUUGAUCAACUGCUACAUGGAUAAACAAAAUGUGAUACAUCCAUACAAUGGAACAUUAUUUGGUCAUAAAAAGGAAUCAAGUAUGAUAUAUGCUACAUCGUGGAUGACCCUGGAAAACAUCAUGCUAAGUGAAAGAAGCCAGUCUCCAAAGACCACAUAUUUUAUGAUUCCAUUUAUAUGAAAUUUACAGAAUAGGCAAAUCUAUAGAGACAGAAAGUAGAUUCAUGUUUGCUUAGAGCUUGAGAAGAUGGGGAAACUGGAUGGUGAUAACUAAAGGAUACCAGGUUUCUCGUUAAAUCUCAUACGAUUUGAACUGAUUGAUGGUACCAAGAUUGUAUGCCUACACCCUUGUUGCAAGGGAGACUGACUACUACAUUGGAAAAUUUACCAUUUAAAUAUGAGAAUUUCCACUAACAUAGAAAGGGCAUUCAAAAGACAAUGAGCAGUCUUGAUUAUAAUCCUAUGCCUACUAUAAGAAUAGAGAUCGACUCUCAGAAAACCCAAAAUCUAAGAGAUGCACCAAGGAAGAGGAUCCAGAGAAGAAUAUAGAGAAGGAAGGAUGAUAUAGAUGAAAAGAAAAUACACAAAGAAAAAUAAUGGAAGGAAAUGGAUUAAAGAAUUUCCAGAAGGAGGGAGUAGUGAUCAAAAGUGUUAGUAUUAUACAGAAGUCAAAUCAAAUAAAGGCUGAGAAUUACCCAUUGGCUUUAGCCACUAGCAGGUCAUCCAUAUCUUUAGUAAGAGAAGUUUAACUAAUUUGAUGAGGAGGAAUCCUAAUUUCAGUGGACUGAAAAGGAAAUAGAAGAUGAUGAUAUAAAGACAUAUACUUUCUCAAGACUUGAGGAUCUAGUUACAACAUGUGGAUGUUGUAAUAAAUAUCGUAUUUAAUCCUUGUAAGGCCUUGUGAAUUAGGGACUGUUAUUACCCCUAUAUUACAGAUGCAAGGAGGCUUUGAGACCCAAGGUUAUGUGAGGGGCAGAUCUGGGUCUUACAGUCAGACUUGUCUGACAUUAGAGUCAGAAAGAACUCUUAGGCACCAGAUCACACUGCAAACAUUUUAUAGGGCAAUUGUUUUAGGGCAAGUCCCAAAAUCACAGAUUCUCAAAAUAAGAAGGAAUUUGAACUCUGAUUCACUUCUUGGUUCCACUUCAGUGUUUCUUUCUCAGAUCCUUAAAGGCAGAAUAUGUCUCUACCACAUCCUCCCAUCAUGCUGUUUAUUCCUCUGUUACAUUUGUUUUUGAUCAUCUCUCCUUCUUCUGUUAAUAGAAGUCUGAUUAUCUUUAUCUCUGAAGAAUCACCCAUUCUCUCAACCUUGGUCCACUUGCUUUGGCAAGUGCUGACUCCAUUCAUGUCUCUAGGGCUGGACAAGUCACUCAGUCUUGACUGUUAGAACAUAGCAUCCCUCUGAUCACUGUGAUAAAUUUAGGAAUAAGCUUGUGAACAAAUUCAAGUCACUGAAAAUUGCAUCCAAGACUUACAUCAUACUGUUGUGGAAGAGAAGUCCUAUUUUCUGUUGACUUGAAUCUUGGAGGAUAUAGACCUGGAGCUGUGGGAAGCCAUCUUCCCUUCACAUAGAAUCUGGGAGUGAAGCCUAAGGUUGGGAGAGCAGAUCCAGAAGGUGGAGAGAGUUGGGGUCCCAGUGAGCCCUUGGAUGAAGCCCCUUUUACGGCCAGCACCCCUGUACUUUUCUUUACAUGAGCUAAUAAUUUUUGUUUGUUUAAGUCAAUUUGAAUGGGAGGAUCUCCAAUUCGAUACCAAGAAAGACCUAAUGCAUAGCUUAUGACUGCCUGCAUGGUAUUUUCUCCCCCAGUAGAAUGUUAGCCAUAGAGUGCCCUAAUCCUCCCUUUUUUCUCUUUGUGCUCCACCCCCACCAAUGUCUAGGAUGAUGCAUUAUGUGUAGCAAGUGCUCAGUAAAUACCUGAUGGGCUCAGUAGAAUUGAGUGUAGACUGUUUCUGCAACAUUCCCUAAAAGUUGCUUCAGAAAAGCUUCCUGUCUAUAAGCUUGCUGACUGUCACUUUUGUCUCUUAAUCACAAGAAUAAUCUGCAGAAGAAGUCCCAAAUAUUUGAUCUUUCUGUUUGUUUGAAUUCACAUGAAACUAGAAUUUAGUGUAAACAUAUACUUGGCAUGUUCACUACAUGCUCCAACAAAACAGCUUGAAAGAUGCAGAGUGAAUUGUUCUAUCAGUGGCUCAAUAGACUAAAAUGUUCACUUUCUGUCCUUUGUGAAAAACUGGUUUUUCUCUGGCGCUUGAUUCCUUUCACACAAAGAGGCUGACAUCCUCUCAGGAUAAAAAAGGGGUAGAGAGUUAAGAUGUUUUUCUGUUAUUACUGUGAAAACUUGGCAGCAAUUCUUUACCAAAAUGGCCAUGAGCUGUUGCUGUUCUGUAGUUUAGGAGCAUUGCCCUUCUAGGUUCAUUAAACGAGAAGGAUACAGACAGAAGGAAAUACUUUCAGCACACAUUGAGGAGCGCUGCUAAAUGACGUGUCAUAGCUAUGGACUGCUGGAAAAUUCUGAUUUACUCGUAUUAAUAACUGCUGAGAUUGUUGUUUCACACUGAUAUAGGUAAGGAGACUCUUCUACCCUAUCUUUAUAACAAAAAACAUUGGAAGAAUUAUAGUGAGUUGAUCAUAUUAAUAUUCUAAUUCAUCAUAGCUAUAAUUGUAGCUGACCCUUACUGAGUACUUAUUAUUUGCCAGAUACUGUUCCAAGCAUUUUAUACAUAUCAAUAAUAGAUAGGGACUAUUAUAUCCCCAUUUUACAGAUAUGAAACUGAGGUACAGCAUGAUUACUUAACUUGCUCAAGGUCACACUUAACUUGCCCUAGGUUGUAAAGGUAGAGCUAGGAGUCCUACCAGGUAGUCUUUCUCCUGAGCUUCUCUUCUUAACCAUCAUGCUUUACUGCUCUUCAGAAUAUUU